UUAUGUAUAUGAUGACUGCAUAGUUCACCUGAUUUGUUAUGAUGAACAAUAGUAUGUGUUCCGCUGUCUGAGUACAUAU
Vanessa tameamea is the source of this 79-nucleotide small nucleolar RNA. RefSeq annotates it as small nucleolar RNA snR60/Z15/Z230/Z193/J17. NCBI's taxonomy places the organism in Eukaryota, Metazoa, Arthropoda, Insecta, Lepidoptera, Nymphalidae. The record is from RefSeq and is a predicted model, not a curated record. The transcript has a single exon.